GACGUAGGGGGCCAGCGUUGCUCGGAAUUACUGGGCGUAAAGGGUUCGUAGGCGGUGUGGCAAGUCGGUAGUGAAAUCUCCAGGCUUAACUUGGAGGCUGCUGCCGAAACUGCCGUGCUAGAGUACGGGAGAGGCGAGUGGAAUUACAGGUGUAGCGGUGAAAUGCGUAGAUAUCUGGAGGAACACCGGUGGCGAAGGCGGCAUCCUGGACCAACACUGACACUGAGGAGCGAAAGCCAGGGGAGCAAACGGG
RNAcentral lists this ribosomal RNA (253 nucleotides) under uncultured bacterium. Its description in RNAcentral is "partial 16S ribosomal RNA". It matches the Rfam family "Bacterial small subunit ribosomal RNA", at positions 524 to 776 of the family's 1533-position model. The record is from RNAcentral.